RNAcentral lists this transfer RNA (72 nucleotides) under Pangasianodon hypophthalmus (striped catfish). It matches the Rfam family "tRNA". Rfam says of the family: Transfer RNA (tRNA) molecules are approximately 80 nucleotides in length. Their secondary structure includes four short double-helical elements and three loops (D, anti-codon, and T loops). Lineage: Eukaryota; Metazoa; Chordata; Actinopteri; Siluriformes; Pangasiidae. The record is from Rfam by way of RNAcentral.
GGCCGGUUAGCUCAGUUGGUUAGAGCGUGGUGCUAAUAACGCCAAGGUCGCUGGUUCGAUCCCGUGCGGCCA